GAGUUUGAUCAUGGCUCAGAUUGAACGCUGGCGGCAGGCCUAACACAUGCAAGUCGAGCGGAUGAAGAGAGCUUGCUCUCUGAUUCAGCGGCGGACGGGUGAGUAAUGCCUAGGAAUCUGCCUGGUAGUGGGGGACAACGUUUCGAAAGGAACGCUAAUACCGCAUACGUCCUACGGGAGAAAGCAGGGGACCUUCGGGCCUUGCGCUAUCAGAUGAGCCUAGGUCGGAUUAGCUAGUAGGUGAGGUAAAGGCUCACCUAGGCGACGAUCCGUAACUGGUCUGAGAGGAUGAUCAGUCACACUGGAACUGAGACACGGUCCAGACUCCUACGGGAGGCAGCAGUGGGGAAUAUUGGACAAUGGGCGAAAGCCUGAUCCAGCCAUGCCGCGUGUGUGAAGAAGGUCUUCGGAUUGUAAAGCACUUUAAGUUGGGAGGAAGGGCAGUAAGUUAAUACCUUGCUGUUUUGACGUUACCAACAGAAUAAGCACCGGCUAACUUCGUGCCA
RNAcentral lists this ribosomal RNA (506 nucleotides) under uncultured Gammaproteobacteria bacterium. Its description in RNAcentral is "bacterial SSU rRNA". It matches the Rfam family "Bacterial small subunit ribosomal RNA", at positions 9 to 510 of the family's 1533-position model. The record is from RNAcentral. RNAcentral also lists the same sequence under 1 other name. Lineage: Bacteria; Pseudomonadati; Pseudomonadota; Gammaproteobacteria.